RNAcentral lists this ribosomal RNA (383 nucleotides) under uncultured microorganism. RNAcentral's name for it is "bacterial SSU rRNA". It matches the Rfam family "Archaeal small subunit ribosomal RNA", at positions 330 to 712 of the family's 1478-position model. The record is from RNAcentral.
GUGCAGCAGGCGAGAAUACUUUACAAUGCGGGAAACCGCUAUAAGGGGACACCGAGUGCCAGCAUAUUAUGUUGGCUGUCCACAUGUGUAAACGGCAUGUGUUAGCAAGGGCCGGGCAAGACCGGUGCCAGCCGCCGCGGUAACACCGGCGGCCCGAGUGGUAAUCACUUUUAUUGGGUCUAAAGGGUCCGUAGCCGGUUUGAUCAGUUCUUCGGGAAAUCUGACAGCUCAACUGUUAGGCUUCCGGGGAAUACUGUCAGACUUGGGGACCGGGAGAGGUAAGAGGUACUACAGGGGUAGGAGUGAAAUCUUGUAAUCCCUGUGGGACCACCAGUGGCGAAGGCGUCUUACCAGAACGGGUCCGACGGUGAGGGACGAAAGCU